RNAcentral lists this transfer RNA (74 nucleotides) under Sphingobacteriaceae bacterium. RNAcentral's name for it is "tRNA-Val". It matches the Rfam family "tRNA". From Rfam's summary of the family: Transfer RNA (tRNA) molecules are approximately 80 nucleotides in length. Their secondary structure includes four short double-helical elements and three loops (D, anti-codon, and T loops). The record is from RNAcentral. Lineage: Bacteria; Pseudomonadati; Bacteroidota; Sphingobacteriia; Sphingobacteriales; Sphingobacteriaceae.
GGUCGGUUAGUUUAACGGUAAAACCGGGCUUUUACACGGCUCUGUCGGGGGUUCGACUCCCUCACCGACUACCA